GUUGCAUUGCUAUUGUCUUUUAUUACGUCUGAGCAAUGAACUGUAUUUCUGAGGAUGGGAUAGAAUAGUUGUGGUGUC
RNAcentral lists this small RNA (78 nucleotides) under Arabidopsis thaliana (thale cress). RNAcentral describes it as "ATSL265270". Lineage: Eukaryota; Viridiplantae; Streptophyta; Magnoliopsida; Brassicales; Brassicaceae. The record is from RNAcentral.